Long non-coding RNA from Pseudophryne corroboree (corroboree frog), 367 nucleotides. RefSeq lists it as uncharacterized. NCBI's taxonomy places the organism in Eukaryota, Metazoa, Chordata, Amphibia, Anura, Myobatrachidae. The record is from RefSeq and is a predicted model, not a curated record. The transcript has 2 exons.
UUUGACUCACCAGAUAACUGAGGUGAUCUGGGCUCAUCACUCUGUGGACUCGCCAAUAGUGCCUGUGGUGGCUGGGGUGAGACUGCAGAAAUGCGCCGCCUGGGUGGGGAAGAUGGAGCCGCAGAUUCAGAGACAAGACGCCGUGUCUUACUUGGCCUCCUGGAAUAUGUGACUACAGUGAAUUCUUACCUGCAAUCCCAGCAUCAUCCUGAGUUGUCUGUGGCCUGUCUGGCCGGCUGGUCUGUCGGACUGUUGAAAAAGUUGUAAAAACAUUAUGACCAUACUUUGUAAAAAAAUGCUAACUGCAAAGCCUUAGUGUACUGUAACCAUCUUGUACGUAUUGUAAAUUAAACUAAUUUCUGCUUAA